CAGAAUAUUUUGGCCUAAUACCAUCUCGAACACCAACCUACUAAAAAUGACAGAGUCGUCAUGUAUAAUCGACGAGAUAACACAGAAGCGCUUCCGGUGGCUUGGACAUGUUUUGAGAAAGGAAAACUCAAGCAUAACAAAAACAGCCCUUAGAUGGACACCACAGGGAAAGAGACCAAGAGGACGUCCCAAAACAACAUGGCGGAGGACAAUAGAGAAUGAAUUAAAAGACCUAAAGAUGACAUGGGGAGAGGCAGAAACAAUGGCAAAG
RNAcentral lists this long non-coding RNA (271 nucleotides) under Mytilus galloprovincialis (Mediterranean mussel). Lineage: Eukaryota; Metazoa; Mollusca; Bivalvia; Mytilida; Mytilidae. The record is from RNAcentral.